GAUGAACGCUAGCGGGAGGCCUAACACAUGCAAGCCGAGCGGUAGAGUUCCUUCGGGAACUUGAGAGCGGCGUACGGGUGCGUAACACGUGUGCAACCUACCUUUAUCUGGGGGAUAGCCUUUCGAAAGGAAGAUUAAUACCCCAUAAUAUAAUGAUUGGCAUCCAUUAUUAUUGAAAACUCCGGUGGAUAGAGAUGGGCACGCGCAAGAUUAGAUAGUUGGUGAGGUAACGGCUCACCAAGUCAAUGAUCUUUAGGGGUCCUGAGAGGGAGAUCCCCCACACUGGUACUGAGACACGGACCAGACUCCUACGGGAGGCAGCAGUGAGGAAUAUUGGACAAUGGGUGAAAGCCUGAUCCAGCCAUCCCGCGUGAAGGAUGACGGUCCUAUGGAUUGUAAACUUCUUUUGUACAGGGAUAAACCUACUCUCGUGAGGGUAGCUGAAGGUACUGUACGAAUAAGCACCGGCUAACUCCGU
This 478-nucleotide ribosomal RNA is filed under the name uncultured bacterium. Its description in RNAcentral is "partial 16S ribosomal RNA". It matches the Rfam family "Bacterial small subunit ribosomal RNA", at positions 28 to 506 of the family's 1533-position model. The record is from RNAcentral.